This 498-nucleotide ribosomal RNA is filed under the name uncultured bacterium. RNAcentral's name for it is "partial 16S ribosomal RNA". It matches the Rfam family "Bacterial small subunit ribosomal RNA", at positions 28 to 508 of the family's 1533-position model. The record is from RNAcentral.
GAUGAACGCUGGCGGCGUGCCUAAUACAUGCAAGUCGAGCGAACAGACGAGGAGCUUGCUCCUCUGACGUUAGCGGCGGACGGGUGAGUAACACGUGGAUAACCUACCUAUAAGACUGGGAUAACUUCGGGAAACCGGAGCUAAUACCGGAUAAUAUAUUGAACCGCAUGGUUCAAUAGUGAAAGACGGUUUUGCUGUCACUUAUAGAUGGAUCCGCGCCGCAUUAGCUAGUUGGUAAGGUAACGGCUUACCAAGGCAACGAUGCGUAGCCGACCUGAGAGGGUUGUCGGGCCCCACUGGACUUGGACCCGGGCCCAGCCCCCGACGGGGGCAGCAGUGGGGAAUUUUUCCGAAAGGGGGAAAGUCCGGCGGGACCACCCCGGGGGGGUUAAGAAAGUUCUUCGGAUCUAAAACUUUUUUUAUGGGGAAAAAAAAAAUGUGAAAGUAACUAUGCCCUUCUGGAGGGUCCCUAACAAAAAGCCCCGGCCAACCUCCGUC